Molecule: ribosomal RNA, 261 nt
Filed under: uncultured prokaryote
Description: partial 16S ribosomal RNA
Rfam family: Bacterial small subunit ribosomal RNA
Source: RNAcentral
UACGGAGGAUGCAGGCGUUAUCCGGAUUUAUUGGGUUUAAAGGGUGCGUAGGCGGGGCAGCAAGUCAGUGGUGAAAUCUUUCGGCUUAACUGAAAAACUACCAUUGAAACUGUUGUCCUUGAGUAUAUUUGGAGUGGGCGGAAUGUGUCAUGUAGCGGUGAAAUGCUUAGAUAUGACACAGAACACCAAUCGCGAAGGCAGCUCACUAAACUAUAACUGACGCUGAAGCACGAAAGCGUGGGGAUCAAACAGGAUUAGAUA